UGAAUACGAAAUGCUACGGCAUUGAAGUGAUCUAUGCCAGGCUUCCAAGAAAAUCUCGUCAUAUCUUAAGCAGUAGAUGCCUGUACCUUAAACCGACACAGGUAGGUAGGUAGAGUAUACCAAGGGGCGCGAGAUAACUCUCUCUAAGGAACUCGGCAAAAUAACCUCGUAACUUCGGAAGAAGAGGUACCCUUGAAAAAGGGUUGCAAUAACCAGACCCUGGCGACUGUUUACCAAAAACACAGGUCUCCGCUAAUUCGUAAGAUCAAGUAUGGAGGCUGACGCCUGCCCAGUGCCGGAAGGUUAAAGAAGUUGGUCAAUCUUUGGACGAAGCUGGCGACUGAAGCCCCGGUGAACGGCGGCCGUAACUAUAACGGUCCUAAGGUAGCGAAGUUCCUUGUCGGGUAAGUUCCGACCCGCACGAAAGGCGUAACGAUCAGGGUGCUGUCUCGGAGAGAGACUCGGCGAAAUAGACAUGUCUGUGAAGUUGCGGACUACCUGCACCUGGACAGAAAGACCCUAUGAAGCUUUACUGUAUCUUGGAAUUGGGUUUGGGCCUUGCUUGCGCAGGAUAGGUGGGAGGCUGAAGAUAUUCUUGCGGGAAUGUUGGAGCCAACGGUGAGAUACCACUCUAGUAAGGCUAAAAUUCUAACUCUGAACCGUUAUCCGGUCAGAGAACAGUUUCAGGUGGGCAGUCUGACUGGGGCGGUCGCCUCCUAAAAGGUAACGGAGGCGCGCAAAGGUUCCCUCAGGCUGGUUGGACAUCAGUCGUAGAGUGUAAAGGCAUAAGGGAGCUUGACUGCGAGACCCACAAGUCGAGCAGAGACGAAAGUCGGCCUUAGUGAUCCGACGGUUCCACGUGGAAGGGCCGUCGCUCAACGGAUAAAAGUUACUCUAGGAUAACAGGCUGAUCUCCCCCAAGAGUUCACAUCGACGGGGAGGUUUGGCACCUCGAUGUCGGCUCAUCGCAUCCUGGGGCGGUAGUACGUCCCAAGGGUUGGGCUGUUCGCCCAUGAAAGCGGUACGCGAGCUGGGUUCAGAACGUCGUGAGACAGUUCGGUCCAUAUCCGGUGCAGGCGUUAGAGCAUUGAGAGGAGUCCCCCUUAGUACGAGAGGACCGGGGGGAAUACACCGCUGGUGUACCAGUUAUCGUGCCAACGGUAAACGCUGGGUAGCCAUGUGUAGCGCGGAUAACUGCUGAAAGCAUCUAAGUAGGAAGCCCACCUUAAGAUGAGUGCUCUCACCGCUAUAAGCGGGUAAGGUCACGGUAAGAACAACCGUUAUAUAGGCAUUAAGUAUACGUGCAGUAAUGCAUUUAGCUGAGAUGUACUAACAGACC
RNAcentral lists this ribosomal RNA (1339 nucleotides) under metagenome. RNAcentral describes it as "bacterial LSU rRNA". It matches the Rfam family "Bacterial large subunit ribosomal RNA", at positions 1564 to 2910 of the family's 2925-position model. The record is from RNAcentral.